Molecule: ribosomal RNA, 119 nt
Filed under: Pteropus alecto (black flying fox)
Lineage: Eukaryota; Metazoa; Chordata; Mammalia; Chiroptera; Pteropodidae
Source: RNAcentral
GUGUAUGGCUAUGCUAUCCUGAACAAGCCUGAUCCCAUCUGAUCUUGGAAGCUAAGCAGGGUCAGGCCUGGUUAGUACUUGAAUGGGAGACCACCUAGGAAGAUCAGGUACUGUAGGUG